GGAUUAGAUACCCUGGUAGUCCACACCGUAAACGUUGGGCGCUAGGUGUGGGAUCCAUUCCACGGGUUCCGUGCCGCAGCUAACGCAUUAAGCGCCCCGCCUGGGGAGUACGGCCGCAAGGCUAAAACUCAAAGGAAUUGACGGGGGCCCGCACAAGCGGCGGAGCAUGCGGAUUAAUUCGAUGCAACGCGAAGAACCUUACCUGGGUUUGACAUGCACCGGGAUGUGCCAGAGAUGGUGCAGCUUUUGCUGGUGUGCAGGUGGUGCAUGGCUGUCGUCAGCUCGUGCCG
Molecule: ribosomal RNA, 290 nt
Filed under: uncultured bacterium
Lineage: Bacteria
Description: partial 16S ribosomal RNA
Rfam family: Bacterial small subunit ribosomal RNA
Source: RNAcentral